UAUCUGCAGUUUCAAGGUGAGAGUUUAUUAUCAUGUUGACUUCCUUAAAACCGCCCAUGAUUUUGCAAAUAUCUUCCUUGAUAACACAUCUCAAGUCCCUGCAAAGCGCAAAGUGAUUCACCAGCUUCCCCACGGUGUUCAGCGUCCCGCUAUUACAGAUUCCAUUUGAUUCUACCGUUUUAAUCCAGAGAAGCGCAGAUCUGAUGCAUUCAAAUAUGAAUGAAGAUAAAAUAAUCCAGCCUUCCAUCUGAUGAAGAUUACCAAGAUUAUCCAGAUGAUGAUUGGCACGUAUCGGAUCUGAGAAAGGAACCAGAUCUUGGAAAUUCCAGUUUUAGGUUGAAGCAAGAAUUCGCUAUCACAUAAUGGAUGCAACCAUUGCUUUGAUACUCAUAUAUGGGAGUGGCCAUAUCAAUUUCCAAAGCCAUCAGAUUCAUCUCUCCUUUGCGUGAUGAUUACCAACCUGCUGCUCGCGAAGAUAGGCAGCUUGCUUCCUCUAAUAAAUAACCCCACUCUCUUUAUUUUCUCGUUUAAUUUGCGGUUGUGUUAGUCUGAAAUCAAGCUUAUUUUCUGCAUUACAACAACAAAGUCUGUUGAUAAACGUAUUACGCUAACUACAUAUAAGAAUUGUUUUUUUUUUUUGGUCUAUUAAUAGGACUACACAACAUUUUAGACAACCAUCACAUUUGGACACCCAACAAGGGCAAGUUGUGUCAGUUAUAUGAAUUUAUUUUAAUAUUUAUACACUACCAAUAUGACUGGCUAAAUCUCUAAUAUUGGUUAAACGAAUAUGGUCAUCUUAGUAUUGUAAAAACAAGUUGAAAUAUUUAGAAGAUGGAUCAUCAAUUUGAGUUAUCAAAUAAGAGAUCCAAAAAAUUAGAGGGCUAUCAUUGUCAAGGGACAGUGUUAGAUCCAAGAAGGGUUCAAUGCUUUAGCGAGAUUGAGACAAUGGAAGUUAUCUUAAAAUUGAAACCUGAGUGCUGCUACCCCCUA
Prosopis cineraria is the source of this 990-nucleotide long non-coding RNA. RefSeq lists it as uncharacterized. NCBI's taxonomy places the organism in Eukaryota, Viridiplantae, Streptophyta, Magnoliopsida, Fabales, Fabaceae. The transcript is spliced from 3 exons. The record is from RefSeq and is a predicted model, not a curated record.